GCUACAGCCCGACCUAGCCCUCCACCUCCUCCUUCCGGCCGCCGCCAUUAGGCAGGUGUAAUCUUCCGUCAGAUUCGGUCCUGAUUUUGGCGUGUGUGUUUGGCUGCAGCUUCUUGAUGAAGCUGAUUGAUCUGAAGAAUGACACCACCAUCCAUAGCACCAUCGCUGGUAUGAUUUGACUUCACUCACUAUCAAGAGGGGAACACCUCAAACUUUAGGGAGCUCACCGACCCGUUUGCUCCUAAAAUUUUAUUGGCUCCAUGCUCAGUAUCUAAGAGAGCUAGCUAGAUGCAGCUGCUAGCAUCUUUGGACAGGCAUACUCCCGUGAUGCGCUUUAACAGUAGUGCUUUUUUAGAAUCAUGUGUGGUAUUGGCAGGCAGAUUUGCAUGCUCCUUUCUUCACGCGUGCAAUUCGAGUUUUGCCAGUGCAAACUAAUUCUGAGUUCAAGUGAACCGUGUUUUACCUGUUGCACAUGGAUUUUGAUCCACAGUAAAAAAAGGGCAGGAAGCGGCACAAGUGUUGCUGAGAGGAGCUAGCAGGCAUGGAGGAGACAAGGCGCUUCGUGGCGACCACCUUCACCCUAAUUUUGCAGGAAGGCAGGGUGGGGCAUUGACCAACAUCGGUCUCGGCGUUGAAUAGUCGCUGCCCUCGUACUGAAAUAUGAAAUAGCGUCUCCACCUCAAGAAGUCAUCCCCUGAUUUUCAUUCAUUGGUGAGGAUGCCGCCUAGGAGAGGGAAAGAAAAUUAGGGAUCAUCUGUACCAGAGAAGGGUUUUUAUUUACUUUUUGCAUAUAAAGUGGAAUGAUACAAUAAGCAAAGAUUUUCGUGAAAAAAUAAAACAGCAUGUGGUUCAAUACCAAUAUUUUGUAAGAUCAUGGGGUUAUGUCAGUCUUCCUAUUAUGCCCAUGACUUUGUUUAUUUUGCAGAUAGAUGGUGCCCCGACUUAUUUGGCUGUAACUGGAGGAGAUAAAAAUUAGGAAUAAACAAUAAUUGUGUAUAGAUAGAACACCAUCUUUUGGUUUUCAGGUUUACAACUAUUCACACGGUUCUUUUAAAGAAAAUUUUAUUUAACCUGCGUA
Molecule: long non-coding RNA, 1078 nt
Organism: Lolium rigidum
Lineage: Eukaryota; Viridiplantae; Streptophyta; Magnoliopsida; Poales; Poaceae
Exons: 3
Source: RefSeq, a predicted model, not a curated record